Molecule: long non-coding RNA, 435 nt
Organism: Salvia miltiorrhiza (redroot sage)
Lineage: Eukaryota; Viridiplantae; Streptophyta; Magnoliopsida; Lamiales; Lamiaceae
Exons: 2
Source: RefSeq, a predicted model, not a curated record
UGAAUAGAAUCACUCAUAGUUUAAAUGAAAGAGGCCCAAACAGCAGAAUCACGGGCUCAAUAUAUUAGCGCUAUUUUGAAUUUUCCCGGAAAUUAAUUUGUUGCAAUAUGCAACUCCAGCCGCCGAAGCGGUGAAUACGCUGCUUCCCCACCCGCCGCGCGACGCGAAGCAGUCGAUAUGAUACUUUAAUUUAAUUGCAGCAGAGCUUUUUUUAUGUCUAUCUGAAGUCAUAGCGGAACCUCUUGAUGGAAACAACUUGAAGCACUGAAGCAGACUUCAGACAGAAAGCGACCCCAUCUUAAAAUUGUUGCAAAUACACGUAAGUAUUGAUCCAUUUCUGUCUGCUUACAGAUAUGCAAAUAUUGAUAGGCAGAAUAAUUGUGUAUCCCAACGGUUAUAUACAUUAAUAUGAUUUUGCCUACAUCAGUUCACCUA